Molecule: ribosomal RNA, 356 nt
Filed under: uncultured soil bacterium
Lineage: Bacteria
Description: bacterial SSU rRNA
Rfam family: Bacterial small subunit ribosomal RNA
Source: RNAcentral
AGAUUGAACGCUGGCGGCAUGCCUUACACAUGCAAGUCGAACGGCAGCACGGGGGCAACCCUGGUGGCGAGUGGCGAACGGGUGAGUAACAUAUCGGAACGUGCCCUGGAGUGGGGGAUAACUAGUCGAAAGACUAGCUAAUACCGCAUACGAUCUACGGAUGAAAGUGGGGAUCGCAAGACCUCAUGCUCGUGGAGCGGCCGAUAUCUGAUUAGCUAGGUUGGUAGGGUAAAGCCUACCAAGGCAUCGAUCAGUAGCUGGUCUGAGAGGACGACCAGCCACACGUGGGACUAGAGACCACCGGCCCAGACCGUCCGUACGGGAGGCAGCGUAGGUAGGGUAAUUUGGAACGAAGU